Molecule: ribosomal RNA, 947 nt
Filed under: Yersinia ruckeri
Lineage: Bacteria; Pseudomonadati; Pseudomonadota; Gammaproteobacteria; Enterobacterales; Yersiniaceae
Description: bacterial LSU rRNA
Rfam family: Bacterial large subunit ribosomal RNA
Source: RNAcentral
UGUGGGAAGGCAUAGACAGCCAGGAUGUUGGCUUAGAAGCAGCCAUCAUUUAAAGAAAGCGUAAUAGCUCACUGGUCGAGUCGGCCUGCGCGGAAGAUGUAACGGGGCUAAACCAUGCACCGAAGCUGCGGCAGCGACGCUUAGGCGUUGUUGGGUAGGGGAGCGUUCUGUAAGCCGUUGAAGGUGGCCUGUGAGGGCUGCUGGAGGUAUCAGAAGUGCGAAUGCUGACAUAAGUAACGAUAAUGCGGGUGAAAAACCCGCACGCCGGAAGACCAAGGGUUCCUGUCCAACGUUAAUCGGGGCAGGGUGAGUCGACCCCUAAGGCGAGGCUGAAAAGCGUAGUCGAUGGGAAACAGGUUAAUAUUCCUGUACUGGGUGUGACUGCGAAGGGGGGACGGAGAAGGCUAGGCUAGCCGGGCGACGGUUGUCCCGGUUUAAGCAUGUAGGCGGAGCGACUUGGUAAAUCCGGUUGCUUAUCAACGCUGAGGUGUGAUGACGAGCCACUACGGUGGUGAAGUAGUUGAUGCCAAGCUUCCAGGAAAAGCCUCUAAGCAUCAGGUGACAUUCAAUCGUACCCCAAACCGACACAGGUGGUCAGGUAGAGAAUACUCAGGCGCUUGAGAGAACUCGGGUGAAGGAACUAGGCAAAAUGGUGCCGUAACUUCGGGAGAAGGCACGCUGGCAUUAGGUAAAGAGACUUGCUCUCGGCGCCGAAGCCAGUCGCAGAUACCAGCUGGCUGCAACUGUUUAAUAAAAACACAGCACUGUGCAAACACGAAAGUGGACGUAUACGGUGUGACGCCUGCCCGGUGCUGGAAGGUUAAUUGAUGGGGUCAGCCGCAAGGCGAAGCUCUUGAUCGAAGCCCCAGUAAACGGCGGCCGUAACUAUAACGGUCCUAAGGUAGCGAAAUUCCUUGUCGGGUAAGUUCCGACCUGCACGAAUGGCG